This 1028-nucleotide long non-coding RNA is filed under the name Homo sapiens (human). RNAcentral describes it as "PREDICTED lncRNA (TCONS_00052524)". Lineage: Eukaryota; Metazoa; Chordata; Mammalia; Primates; Hominidae. The record is from RNAcentral.
CUUGUCCAAGAUGAUGAUACUCCUGCCCUGUCACCUACUCUCUUGUGAUUACCAUUUGCAUGGGAUAUCUUUUUCAUCCCUUCACUUUCAGCCUAUGUGUGUUCUUAAAUCUAAACCUCUCAUAAGCCGUAGCAUGUCCUGAAUCUUACUGGCUUCGCCUCCCAAUUGCCAAGUGAACCUGGAGCAGAAGACUCUUUGGGAACCACUGACCUGGGUGGAGGAGAAACCACCUUGGGCGUUCUGCUGCUUCAUGAUCCACUUCACAAUGUUAGUUGCAGAGGUCAGGUCCCCUGAGGUGGGGGCUGGCUGGGCCGUGAGAUAAGCGAGGAGCACAUAGGAUGUCAUCUCCACCUCAGCAGAGGGAGCCUGGGUUUGGUAAAGAUGCCCCACUGGUGCCUUGGGUCUCUGAGGGCGCUCCCAAUGGACGAGGUUGUCUUAAGGGUGAGAAAAAGGAGAUAAUUGUAACUCAUCAAUAAGUAAUUAUAACUGGUAGAUAAGAGAAUGCACAUUCAUAAUACAUGGAGCUGAAAAUAAUACAGGAGAAGCAAGGUCUUCUAUGUCAUAAACUCCUAAAACUCACUAACUCACACUUCUAUGCUGAACUUGAUUUAGUCCUGUGGUACGAAGGUAGGGUAGGUUGAUGGAGGAAGAAGCAUAGAGCAUACUCACCAAUCUCUCCAAUGUUAUUUUAGUUGGACUGAUGAAAGAGAAAAGUGGUAGAGAGAGUUCUUUUAUUGUUCGUGAUAUUUUCUGAGAAUUGCAGUAUAGACUAGAAUAUAAAACUUAACUAUUGACCUCAUGUGACUUUUGUGAUGCUCUCUCUGGCAAAUAGAGAUAAAAAUAGUUUGAAAAUGUUAUUGCAUUUUCUGUUUGUUGUACCUCUUUUCUUUCUUUUUUUUUCUCUCCAACUGAAUCAGUCCGUUUUUGUUGUUUUGUAACCUCUUCCAGAGUUAACUACUUCCAUUGUAGGUGAUGAAAUGUAUAAGGCACCACUUCAAAUGUUGGCACUGCUAUAAGCAUGUUCUUUC